This 670-nucleotide long non-coding RNA is filed under the name Ricinus communis (castor bean). RNAcentral's name for it is "long non-coding RNA (RCOM_LNC000533)". Lineage: Eukaryota; Viridiplantae; Streptophyta; Magnoliopsida; Malpighiales; Euphorbiaceae. The record is from RNAcentral.
AUAGAGUAAGCCAUUUAUGUUAACAGGAGGAACCGAAUAACUUUGUUUGAAUUCAGAAAGAUAUAUAACGCAGGCCUGCUGACUUUCAGAAUCUUGAAUGCUUCUUUAUCAGUAUUACAAUGAUGUUACUAUUUCCAGCGCCAAAAGAAGAAGAAGAAGAAAUGAUAUAAUGAUGAACAAACAACACAAGCACAAAUAGUUUCUCAAUUCCUCUAGUUAUUUAAGAAGGUUAAAAAAAAAAAGUUAUGUAAGAACUCUAUUACAGAAAGAAACUUGUAGACUGUGACGCCUAGCGCAGAGAUUUACAUACAUCGAGUUAUUUUAUUAUCCUCUUCAGCCAAUCUAACAACAGCUUCAAGUCUCAACAGCAUUUAUGCCGCAACAAGCUUCUGAAUCUCAUAUGUAGAUCUUGUGUUUCUAUUCAUCAGUGUCUGAUUCUACCUGCAUCCUGACCACAAAGGCAUCACCCCUUCAUACUGUUCAUGGUAAUUCAGAGGAACCAAUGUGCCAAAGAUGUCCAAAUUUUUAAAGUAAAAAAAGAAAUAUACCUCUAUUUGGAAAGGCGAUGUUGUCGGUGGAUAUCUCUCCACGACCUUACCAUUCUUGUCCACCAAGAACUUCUCAAAGUUCCAUUUGAUCAGGUCACCUAAAAAUCCUCCAGCACUUGACU